RNAcentral lists this ribosomal RNA (388 nucleotides) under uncultured bacterium. RNAcentral describes it as "bacterial SSU rRNA". It matches the Rfam family "Bacterial small subunit ribosomal RNA", at positions 28 to 417 of the family's 1533-position model. The record is from RNAcentral.
GACGAACGCUGGCGGCGUGCUUAACGCAUGCAAGUCGAGCGGUAAGGCCCUUUCGGGGGUACACGAGCGGCGAACGGGUGAGUAACACGUGGGUGACCUGCCCUCAGCUCUGGGAUAAGCCUGGGAAACUGGGUCUAAUACCGGAUAUGACUCCAUGACGCAUGUUGUGGGGUGGAAAGCCUUGUGCGGCUGAGGAUGGGCCCGCGGCCUAUCAGCUUGUUGGUGGGGUGAUGGCCUACCAAGGCGACGACGGGUAGCCGGCCUGAGAGGGCGACCGGCCACACUGGGACUGAGACACGGCCCAGACUCCUACGGGAGGCAGCAGUGGGGAAUCUUGCGCAAUGGGCGAAAGCCUGACGCAGCGACGCCGCGUGAGGGAUGACGGCCU